AUCACUAUUACUCGGGUCUCUUUCGUUGUUCACUUGAUCGUCCCUUCUUUCCUUUGGGGAGAAUCAAACCUGUAUCAGAUUCGAGCUCGAUAUCGUUCUUCGUUCGCCGUGCCACGAGGUUAGCUCAGAUUCAAUCGCUAUCGGCCUCUAUUACUCAACGACGUGGUCUCGCCAGUGCCGCUGGUACUCUAUCUGUGAUUGCUUUGGAAUAUCUUAUUUGAGCAUUUUCACACAAAAAACAAAAAGAAAGGUUGAAACUUUGGGAAGGUGGCUGUUUUUUUUUCGUUUCUUCUCCCAGUACAUGAAAUGUUAGAUAUAUAUUAAUGUCCCGGUGAUCAUGGAGCUGCUAAAGUUAGCUUUUGGGAACAGGCGAACAGCCCAUGAACCCACGAAACUGGAAAGAGGAACAUUUGUACUUAUUUCGCUAUCCGGUUGGGGUCUGCUUUUUGACAGCGGUUACAAACUCUUCACCGGAGACAAAAAGCAGCAGCCUGUAAAUGCUAAUGCUACACAAUGAGAAUGAAGUACACAUCUAAUAAAUGGAGCUCUGUUUCUGAAGAAUUUACGAUUAAACUAGAUUCUCAUAUCCUCUUUGCCUGGUGAA
This is a non-coding RNA of Camelina sativa (false flax), 604 nucleotides long. Lineage: Eukaryota; Viridiplantae; Streptophyta; Magnoliopsida; Brassicales; Brassicaceae. The record is from RefSeq and is a predicted model, not a curated record.